GAUGAACGCUGGCGGCGUGCCUAAUACAUGCAAGUCGAGCGAACGGACGAUAAGCUUGCUUUUCUGAUGUUAGCGGCGGACGGGUGAGUAACACGUGGAUAACCUACCUAUAAGACUGGGAUAACUUCGGGAAACCGGAGCUAAUACCGGAUAAUAUUUUGAACCGCAUGGUUCAAAAGUGAAAGACGGUCUUGCUGUCACUUAUAGAUGGAUCCGCGCUGCAUUAGCUAGUUGGUAAGGUAACGGCUUACCAAGGCAACGAUGCAUAGCCGACCUGAGAGGGUGAUCGGCCACACUGGAACUGAGACACGGUCCAGACUCCUACGGGAGGCAGCAGUAGGGAAUCUUCCGCAAUGGGCGAAAGCCUGACGGAGCAACGCCGCGUGAGUGAUGAAGGUCUUCGGAUCGUAAAACUCUGUUAUUAGGGAAGAACAUAUGUGUAAGUAACUGUGCACAUCUUGACGGUACCUAAUCAGAAAGCAACGGCUAACUACGUG
This 497-nucleotide ribosomal RNA is filed under the name uncultured bacterium. Its description in RNAcentral is "partial 16S ribosomal RNA". It matches the Rfam family "Bacterial small subunit ribosomal RNA", at positions 28 to 507 of the family's 1533-position model. The record is from RNAcentral.